UAAUAUUGGUGGAAGUGGUGAGUAAAAGAUUUUCAUAGAAAGGAUGAGGACCCAGGGAAAAAAAGCAAUGUGGGGUCGUGAAGUGUGGAUGCUCUGAAUUUACGAACCAUGGGACCCAAAUGUAAGGAAUCGCUAAACAUAAAUUUAGUACCAUGAAAUUCGUAUCUGAAAGACCUGUAUUACUAUAUUAUAAGGAAUUACUAUAAACCCACUACUAUUUUACUCAUGAGGAAUGUAAUAUAAAUCACAUUGACGAUUAAUAUACAGCUUUGUAUAAUACACUGGACCCGAUCGUGCCUUGCAUUUCAAUGGUAGUUUCAUCAGUAAUCUUUUG
RNAcentral lists this long non-coding RNA (334 nucleotides) under Setaria viridis. RNAcentral describes it as "long non-coding RNA (SVIR_LNC009445)". Lineage: Eukaryota; Viridiplantae; Streptophyta; Magnoliopsida; Poales; Poaceae. The record is from RNAcentral.